GACGAACGCUGGCGGCGUGCUUAACACAUGCAAGUCGAACGGUAAGGCCCUUCGGGGUACACGAGUGGCGAACGGGUGAGUAACACGUGGGUGAUCUGCCCUGCACUUCGGGAUAAGCCUGGGAAACUGGGUCUAAUACCGGAUAGGACUCCGGACUGCAUGGUCUGGGGUGGAAAGCUUUUGCGGUGUGGGAUGGGCCCGCGGCCUAUCAGCUUGUUGGUGGGGUGAUGGCCUACCAAGGCGACGACGGGUAGCCGGCCGGAGAGGGUGACCGGCCACACUGGGACUGCGAUACGGCCCAGACUCCUACGGGAGGCAGCAGUGGGGAAUAUUGCACAAUGGGCGCAAGCCUGAUGCAGCGACGCCGCGUGAGGGAUGACGGCCUUCGGGUUGUAAACCUCCUUCAGCACAGACGAAGCGCAAGUGACGGUAUGUGCAGAAGAAGGACCGGCCAACUACGUGCCAGCCGCCGCAGUAA
RNAcentral lists this ribosomal RNA (478 nucleotides) under uncultured bacterium. Its description in RNAcentral is "partial 16S ribosomal RNA". It matches the Rfam family "Bacterial small subunit ribosomal RNA", at positions 28 to 523 of the family's 1533-position model. The record is from RNAcentral.